RNAcentral lists this long non-coding RNA (2767 nucleotides) under Mus musculus (house mouse). RNAcentral's name for it is "long non-coding RNA chr18:70626364-70629131". The record is from RNAcentral. Lineage: Eukaryota; Metazoa; Chordata; Mammalia; Rodentia; Muridae.
GAUAGUGCUCCAUAGUGAGGCUCUCAUGUGACAUGAGUUAGGUUUACAAGGACCCUGUAGGUGGUGUCUGAAGCUCCUCUUGUUUUGACUAGAACUAUUUUCCUUUCUAGUGUCCACUAGCUGACUAAGGCAGUAGAGCACGCCAGAUCUGUUGCCACCCUGAGAGGCGGCCUCUUAAGACGUAGCUUCAUGGACCAGAGCGUGAUACUUUGCUAACGAGCAACGUUUUCUUCUGUUAGAAGCGCUAAGCCUAACUUUCUGACCACUUAAAUUGCUUGAUAUUUAUUUACUAUAACUGCCAUUGAAUUACCCGAUGAGUUUUUAAAAUGAAAACAUAUUUAAAUUGAUCAGAGCCAAAGACAAGAGGGAAUGACUAUAAAGAAAUUAAGGGAAAUCAUGAAAAGAGGAUCCAAAAUAAUGUGCUUUUUUAUAGGUACAGUCUAUGUGUCCGCGUGCUGGACCUGUGCUGUCUGGGUGUUCACUUUAAAUGAGCACACAUGCUGAGCUUGCUCGAGUCCCUACGUUCAGGUCUCAGCACCAAAAAAGAACAAAAUAAAAUUAGGCUCAAAGUAAUGUGGUCAAGGUUGUAACCACCUGUGUCCUUGCCACCUGUGUCCUUUAUCCCCAGGACCCCCAGUCCCUUCCUAUUCCCAGGGACAGUGAGUGGCUGGCUUCGGGCUGCUAUGGUUUUGGAACCGUGUUGCCAAACUGUAAAAGUCUGGAAUUUCCGAUCUGAUUACAUUCUUACAUGUGAGCCUUAGGCCCCCAGUUUUACCGAGACAGGCCUGCUGGCGGAUGUGCGGGCAGCUCUGCCUGCUCUGGGAGGAUGGUUGUCAGAGGAUCCUUGCUAGGGGCCCAUCCAAGUGACUCAGGCUGAGUGUGUUGCAGUGGAUAUUGCCAUCUCUUAAAGAGCUAGUCUGCUAUUAGAGUGGCUUCCACAAAGUUGUCCUCCUAUCCAAAGGAUGGCUAGCAUCAAUAGUAACUAUGGCUUCGGAUCUCAUGUCUUGUUCUUUUAGCAGCACAGUCCAAACCAUUUUACAAACUUCCCUACACACAUCUUUUGAAAGCAAACUGACCGCGUACGGUACGUACUACAAAGCUUUAGCAGUGUUACUCUGUAUACUUUGCUCAGGUAGAAAACAAGGUGUGAAAGCCCUCAGAACGUGGCCUCUUAGUGACCAUCACUCAAGGCUGAGAUACUCCAAAAUCAAAUUCAUCGUUUUAUCACCACAUACCCACCAUCAUCUUAGAUUCUUCUACUUGGGUCAAAGUUGACUUUGUUCAGAUGGACAAGGCAGAAAUACAGAAAUGAUGCAGGAUGCGGCUCAUCCCCUUGCUCGUAGCAUCUGUGAGUCAGUCCUGAUAGAAGUGCUGCCAUAGCCACACACCUCAGGCCCUUCCGUUCCACAGCCUCUAAGUUCACAGGACUCUUCUUUUCUCCCUCUGGACUAGGGAAUAGCUUUCUUUUUCUCAGUUCUGAUCCCUGUCCCUUCUCUUUCCUCUCUGUGUCCCCUGCUUUUUUUCCGACUUCCCCAGAUGCCUUUAAGUGCAGCCUCAAAUGUCAGAACGUGAAUUUUGCAGCCAGAGAGCCCAUGUCUCAUCCCAGUCUUGGCAUUCGUGGCUUGUCAGGGCCCUCGGUCUCCAUGAGUUUAUUCCUCCUCGGUGACACAGGAGUAACAAUACCUACCUCAUAUAGAGUUGUGAGGAUUCCGUGAGCUGUUGUUUGCGAGGUGUUCAGUACAGUUCCUGGCACUUAGUGGGUCAAUGCUGUCGCCGCCAUCUUUGUUGCUUCCAGGAGGUGCUCGUGCACAGUCCUGUCCGUGUGACUUUACCUCCAGUACUCGUUCCUCUGUAGAGGUCUGUGUUUGAUUUAUUGAUUCGUUGUCUCUUGAGUAGAAUGUGAGCUCCGUGAGAGCAAGGCUGUUUCCGGGUACAGCCGACACAGUGCCUAGACUAUGGCACGUCUUCAGACAGGUAGUAAGCACUCAUUCCUGUUUCCAAAAAAGGUGGGGGGAUGGAAGAAUAGUCAAAAGACUCUUCAUGGUCUCAUAAACAGCAGUCUCACCCUGUUACGAUCCCGCUGCCUUUCACUUCAAGAAAAGCCACACCACUCGCUCCUUUGAAAUUCCUCCGCUGUGCGCCUGGUCCCCCCCUUUUCCUGCCUGGCCACGUGGCGAGUUCCUGGCCACGGAUAAGUGUCAGCGCGGUGGCUGCCUCGCCCGUGGUGUUGCCUGCCCGGAUUUCUCCAGGCAGACACUCUUUCCAUUACCCAGGUUCUCACUGUCUUUUGUAAAUACCUCCGUGGAGGCAGUUUACUGUAUUGUUAAAAAAAAAUGUUUUGCAUGUCUGUUUCUAGUGUUACACUGUAAUCCACAUCAAAGCUGAGCUGGUGUCCUUCCAUCUUCAAGCCCUCAGGGGCCUCGAGCAAUGCCUGGAAUGUGCUUGUUAAUAAGUAUUUGUUGAGUGAAUUUGCGAGCGCACAAAGACUCGUGCAGUUAGAAAACACGUUUUACCAAGAUAGAGAGUUGCCUGGUGGCUUCCAGGAUUUUUUUUCUCUCUCUAGAAAGCAUUAUAUAAUCUCUUUGAAUGUAAUAUUAUUUAAAUUUUAAAAAUAACACAAGUUUAAUAUAGAUCUUCAUAAAUGAUUGCAAAAGAUAGCAGAAGCUUUGUGAUCUUUCAAAUGAUAAUAGAGUUCAAGAUAAAUAUUUGCACUAUUUCCAUAGUGAAUGCUAUGAGGAAAUGUACAGCAAUAAAUUUUGAUGCUUUC